Molecule: long non-coding RNA, 714 nt
Filed under: Olea europaea subsp. europaea
Lineage: Eukaryota; Viridiplantae; Streptophyta; Magnoliopsida; Lamiales; Oleaceae
Source: RNAcentral
AAACCAUAAUAAUCUUCCAAUCCAACAUACGCGCACCCUCCCUCACAUACCAAAAGUCCCAGCCGUCGGUGAUCCCUUCAAAAUCCUAGCAUCCGCUCGCCUUUGACGACCCCUUCAAAUGUUGGCAUCCCUAUCUACUAUCAUUCAUUAUCAGUUAAUAGCAUCGAGGUGCUGUUAUGGCCAAAUGCGGCGUCGCCCAGAUGUAUGCACCGCAUGGAAAAAUUAGGGAGGGGGUUUGGGAUUUUUUUGGGGUGAUAUCUUCCUCCUCUGAUCUGAUUUGUGUAGUCGGGGUUUUGUGGUUGUUUUGAUUGUUGGUUGUUGGCGAUUUGCUUGUUUUCAAUUUGCAAAUGGUGGUUGGUGGCGAUGAUGAUUUUGAAGUUUAAAAUGGUAGUUUUUUGGAGGUAGUAGCGGUGGUCCGGGUGGUGGUAGUGUUGGUUUGUUCCGGGAGAUAAUAUGGUUGUUGUGGUGGUGUAGUUGUUGAUGUAGAGACGACAACGAUGGUGCUGAAAUGCAGAUUUGGGAAUUUUUUUAGUGGGGGUUGGGGUUGUGGUGGUAGGCUAGUGGUGGUGGUUUGGUUGUGUUUAAGACGACGAUUUUGUUGCUAGGAGAUGGUAGCGGUGGUUCUGGCGAUGCUGAUGGUGGAUCUAGAGUUGGUGGGGGUGGAUUUGGCAGUGCAUCUAGCAGUGGCGGUGGUGAUGGUCCUAGUGGCGACGG